GGAUGAGCCUUCCUCUAAUCUCCAGAUAUCUCCCUAAUUUGUUUAGACAUUUCAAAUGGAGCUGUACUCAAUCAGAUGGAAGGGAUGCAAGUCGGUCUGAGGCUACCUUAUGCUGAGGCCUGAGGACAUAUGAUCAUGAUGGGGAUACAGAAGUGAAAUAUUUUCUGUUGAAGUGAAAUACGUAUAAUAAACCAUUGCGUAAAUACUGCUCUCUCUCUCUCUCUCUCUCUCUCUCAGAUCGCCUUAAGACAAUUCCGGAUCGUUGGUCACGCAGUUGACAGUGGACGAAGCCGGAAAAUCCAUGGCCACCAUCUCACCUCCGCGGCCAUCUUCGGUCUGCCCAAAACCUUCCACUGGCGGCUCCAAAUCUAUGCCGGAUCGGCUUUCGCGACAUCGCCGAAGCUUAGCUCACUUCGGUUGUUGUGUGACGUGGACCACUGUCACUAUCCCCGCCUCGAUUGCGAACUCGAUUCGGAUUCCAGCCAGCUCCACGUCCGAGGCUCCCAGACGGAUUCCGAAUCGGAGACUCCCCGAAUUGCAGUCCAAAGCCUUCGAUUCCAACCUGCAGACGAAUGCCGAGAUUGGGAAGAUCGGCGGAGUCGUUCUCGUUCAGGUCACAGGUUGAACUCCAUGAAGAAGGCAAAGAAGCUCUGGUCCGAGCUACCUCGCCAGAGGCGAACUCGGGCCUUGAUGCAAAGGAAGAAGUUAGGAUUCCGAUCUGCAACUGUGGAAGAAGGGAGAAGAAAGAAGACUGGGUGCCCCGAGCAGUUUCUAGGUGCCG
Molecule: long non-coding RNA, 781 nt
Filed under: Rosa chinensis
Lineage: Eukaryota; Viridiplantae; Streptophyta; Magnoliopsida; Rosales; Rosaceae
Description: sRNA RchiOBHm_Chr6g0276301
Source: RNAcentral